CAUAAUCAAUAAUCUCAUCGAAGCAUAAGGAUCCAAAUCGUCUCAGAGACAUGGCAACCCAAAAGCUUGCUACAAUAUCAAUUGUUGUUUUGAUGAUAUUCGCAUGUAUUGCAUCAACAACAAAAGGAGACGUUUUGAAUGUGCAUUGUGUUCGACCAUGCUCUGAUACUUAUGACGACGAGUCGUGUUAUAAUGAUUGCAUUCAAGAGAAUCUUGGUGCUGGAUUUUGUUACCCGAAACUACCUAGCACCGAUAAAGAUUGUUGUUGCAAUGUUUGACAAUAAUUGAUUGCGUAACAUUUUAUUGAAACUUAUAAAUAAAAUUUAAUAUUUUACAA
Molecule: long non-coding RNA, 337 nt
Organism: Cucumis sativus (cucumber)
Lineage: Eukaryota; Viridiplantae; Streptophyta; Magnoliopsida; Cucurbitales; Cucurbitaceae
Exons: 2
Source: RefSeq, a predicted model, not a curated record